RNAcentral lists this transfer RNA (69 nucleotides) under Canis latrans (coyote). RNAcentral describes it as "tRNA-His". It matches the Rfam family "tRNA". From Rfam's summary of the family: Transfer RNA (tRNA) molecules are approximately 80 nucleotides in length. The record is from RNAcentral. RNAcentral also lists the same sequence under 2 other names. Lineage: Eukaryota; Metazoa; Chordata; Mammalia; Carnivora; Canidae.
GUAGGCAUAGUUUAACAAAAACAUUAGAUUGUGAGUCUAACAAUAAAAGCUAAAACCUUUUUGCUUACC